AUAGGGGAGCCGGAGGGAAACCGAGUCUUAAUUGGGCGUUAAGUUGCAGGGUAUAGACCCGAAACCCGGUGAUCUAGCCAUGGGCAGGUUGAAGGUUGGGUAACACUAACUGGAGGACCGAACCGACUAAUGUUGAAAAAUUAGCGGAUGACCUGUGGCUGGGGGUGAAAGGCCAAUCAAACCGGGAGAUAGCUGGUUCUCCCCGAAAGCUAUUUAGGUAGCGCCUCGUGAAUUCAUCUCCGGGGGUAGAGCACUGUUUCGGCUAGGGGGCCAUCCCGGCUUACCAACCCGAUGCAAACUGCGAAUACCGGAGAAUGUUAUCACGGGAGACACACGGCGGGUGCUAACGUCCGUCGUGAAGAGGGAAACAACCCAGACCGCCAGCUAAGGUCCCAAAGUCAUGGUUAAGUGGGAAACGAUGUGGGAAGGCCCAGACAGCCAGGAUGUUGGCUUAGAAGCAGCCAUCAUUUAAAGAAAGCGUAAUAGCUCACUGGUCGAGUCGGCCUGCGCGGAAGAUGUAACGGGGCUAAACCAUGCACCGAAGCUGCGGCAGCGAACGUAUCACUUAAAGCGAUUCAGCGGGUUACGAUUGACGGAGCGAAGCGACGUCAAAGCGUAUACAAAGUCGAGUCGGUUUAAGGAUACGUUCGUUGGGUAGGGGAGCGUUCUGUAAGCCUGUGAAGGUGGCCUGUGAGGGUUGCUGGAGGUAUCAGAAGUGCGAAUGCUGACAUAAGUAACGAUAAAGCGGGUGAAAAGCCCGCUCGCCGGAAGACCAAGGGUUCCUGUCCAACGUUAAUCGGGGCAGGGUGAGUCGACCCCUAAGGCGAGGCCGAAAGGCGUAGUCGAUGGGAAACGGGUUAAUAUUCCCGUACUUGGUGUUACUGCGAAGGGGGGACGGAGAAGGCUAUGUUGGCCGGGCGACGGUUGUCCCGGUUUAAGCGUGUAGGUGUGUGUUCCAGGUAAAUCCGGUUCACUUUAACACUGAGGCGUGAUGACGAGGCACUACGGUGCUGAAGCAACAAAUGCCCUGCUUCCAGGAAAAGCCUCUAAGCAUCAGGUAACAUCAAAUCGUACCCCAAACCGACACAGGUGGUCAGGUAGAGAAUACCAAGGCGCUUGAGAGAACUCGGGUGAAGGAACUAGGCAAAAUGGUGCCGUAACUUCGGGAGAAGGCACGCUGACACGUAGGUGAAGUGAUUUACUCACGGAGCUGAAGUCAGUCGAAGAUACCAGCUGGCUGCAACUGUUUAUUAAAAACACAGCACUGUGCAAACACGAAAGUGGACGUAUACGGUGUGACGCCUGCCCGGUGCCGGAAGGUUAAUUGAUGGGGUCAGCGCAAGCGAAGCUCCUGAUCGAAGCCCCGGUAAACGGCGGCCGUAACUAUAACGGUCCUAAGGUAGCGAAAUUCCUUGUCGGGUAAGUUCCGACCUGCACGAAUGGCGUAAUGAUGGCCAGGCUGUCUCCACCCGAGACUCAGUGAAAUUGAACUCGCUGUGAAGAUGCAGUGUACCCGCGGCAAGACGGAAAGACCCCGUGAACCUUUACUAUAGCUUGACACUGAACAUUGAGCCUUGAUGUGUAGGAUAGGUGGGAGGCUUUGAAGUGUGGACGCCAGUCUGCAUGGAGCCGACCUUGAAAUACCACCCUUUAAUGUUUGAUGUUCUAACGUGGACCCGUAAUCCGGGUUGCGGACAGUGUCUGGUGGGUAGUUUGACUGGGGCGGUCUCCUCCUAAAGAGUAACGGAGGAGCACGAAGGUUGGCUAAUCCUGGUCGGACAUCAGGAGGUUAGUGCAAUGGCAUAAGCCAGCUUGACUGCGAGCGUGACGGCGCGAGCAGGUGCGAAAGCAGGUCAUAGUGAUCCGGUGGUUCUGAAUGGAAGGGCCAUCGCUCAACGGAUAAAAGGUACUCCGGGGAUAACAGGCUGAUACCGCCCAAGAGUUCAUAUCGACGGCGGUGUUUGGCACCUCGAUGUCGGCUCAUCACAUCCUGGGGCUGAAGUAGGUCCCAAGGGUAUGGCUGUUCGCCAUUUAAAGUGGUACGCGAGCUGGGUUUAGAACGUCGUGAGACAGUUCGGUCCCUAUCUGCCGUGGGCGCUGGAGAACUGAGGGGGGCUGCUCCUAGUACGAGAGGACCGGAGUGGACGCAUCACUGGUGUUCGGGUUGUCAUGCCAAUGGCACUGCCCGGUAGCUAAAUGCGGAAGAGAUAAGUGCUGAAAGCAUCUAAGCACGAAACUUGCCCCGAGAUGAGUUCU
This 2256-nucleotide ribosomal RNA is filed under the name Salmonella enterica subsp. enterica serovar Corvallis. RNAcentral describes it as "bacterial LSU rRNA". It matches the Rfam family "Bacterial large subunit ribosomal RNA", at positions 657 to 2812 of the family's 2925-position model. The record is from RNAcentral. Lineage: Bacteria; Pseudomonadati; Pseudomonadota; Gammaproteobacteria; Enterobacterales; Enterobacteriaceae.